CCAGACAUUUUAAUAGGACGGAGCAUCCUCACAUUUCCUCACCCCAUCCCCGCCAUCUGGAGCCCCUGAAUGACCCCUCAAGUGCGACACAAAAAAUAAUCACAGCAACCUCUCCCUCACCCCCCUCCCCUCCCCAAAACCUGCCAAAACCCAGGAAAAAUUUGGGAAAACAAACAACCCAGAGCGGGGGGCUGGGCAGGGCAGGUGGAGCCGGUCCUGGGAGAAAUAACAAAACUGGGCAGAGAAGGCACAAAAAAUAAAAAAAAAAGGGAAAAAAAAAAUCACAAUUCUCAGCUUUUUUUGGGGUUAUUUUGGGAUGUUCUGCGGUAGAUUCCAGGGAUGUGGUGGGGUCGCACCUAAAGCGGCUCCUCCCCUCCCUAAAAAAAUGGAAAUUAAAUUGAAAAUACGAGCUCAGAGCAAUUCCUGGCUGGGAACUGGGGCGUUUCUAGAAUUCACAGCACCCAAAACCCAAAAAUAUUUGCUUUUCCCCCCUUUUUUUCCCCUUUCUUUCUCCCUUCCCCCACCUUUUUUUUCCCUUUUUCCCCCAUUCUUUCUCCCUUUUUUCCCUUUUUCCCCCUUUUUCCCCCUUUUUUCCCCAUUCUUUCUCCCUUUUUUCCCUUUUCCCCCCUUUUUUCCCCAUUCUUUCUCCCUUUCCCCCCCUUUUUCCCCUUUUCCCCCCUUUUUUCCCCCUUUUUUCCCCUUUUUUCUCCUUUUUCCCCAUUCUUUCUCCCUUUCCCCCCCUUUUUUCCCCUUUUCCCCCUUUUUUUCCCUUUUUCCCCCAUUCUUUCUCCCUUUUUCCACCCUCAGACCACAUUUGGUGGACACGUGUCCGUCUCUUUUCUUGUUUUUUAUUUUUUUUCCCUUUUUUUCCUCCCCUCCCAGGGCAGAACUCGCACACUUUGCAGAUCGCUUUUCCUUCCUCCCGCUGCUUUUCCUGUCCCUCUCCAUGUGGCCCCGAGCUCAGGGCUGGCCUGACCCCCCAAAAAUCCCCAAAAUCCCGGAAUUUGGGGCCUCUCCCCAAUUAUUUUCCAUGGAUAAUGAAGAUUUUUUGGUGGAGUUGAA
This 1062-nucleotide long non-coding RNA is filed under the name Cyanistes caeruleus (blue tit). RNAcentral describes it as "lncRNA (ENSCCEG00000003515.1)". The record is from RNAcentral. Lineage: Eukaryota; Metazoa; Chordata; Aves; Passeriformes; Paridae.